This 489-nucleotide ribosomal RNA is filed under the name uncultured bacterium. RNAcentral's name for it is "partial 16S ribosomal RNA". It matches the Rfam family "Bacterial small subunit ribosomal RNA", at positions 28 to 507 of the family's 1533-position model. The record is from RNAcentral.
GAUGAACGCUAGCGGCAGGCUUAAUACAUGCAAGUCGAGGGGCAGCAGGACUGUAGCAAUACAGUUGCUGGCGACCGGCAAGCGUGUUCGGUACACGUAUGCAACCUACCCAAAACUGGGGGAUAGCCCGGGGAAACCCGGCCUAAUACCUCGUAACCUUUUUAAGUGGCAUCACUUGAUAAUUAUACCUCCGGCGGUUCUGGGUGGGCGUUGGCCUGAUUAGGUGGUUGGUGCGGGUAACGGCCCCCCAAGCCUGCGAUCAGGAACUGAUGUGAGAGCAAGACCAGUUAGACGGGCGACGAGACCCGGGCCCGAAUCGUACGCGGGGGAGGGGUAAGGAAUAUUGGUCAAGGGAGGCAAGUCUGAACCAGCCAUGCCGCGUGAAGGAUGAAGGGCAUCUGGAAUGUAAACUUCUUGUGUGGGGGACGAAAACCGGAUAUUCUUACCGGAUUGACGGUACCUCAGGAAUAAGCACCGGCUAACUCCGUG